This 586-nucleotide ribosomal RNA is filed under the name uncultured bacterium. RNAcentral's name for it is "partial 16S ribosomal RNA". It matches the Rfam family "Bacterial small subunit ribosomal RNA", at positions 355 to 1375 of the family's 1533-position model. The record is from RNAcentral.
UGGGGAAUUUUGGACAAUGGGCGAAAGCCUGAUCCAGCAAUGCCGCGUGUGUGAAGAAGGCCUUCGGGUUGUAAAGCACUUUUGUCCGGAAAGAAAUCCUUGGCUCUAAUACAGUCGGGGGAUGACGGUACCGGAAGAAUAAGCACCGGCUAACUACGUGCCAGCAGCCGCGGUAAUACGUAGGGUGCAAGCGUUAAUCGGAAUUACUGGGCGUAAAGCGUGCGCAGGCGGUUUGCUAAGACCGAUGUGAAAUCCCCGGGCUCAACCUGGGAACUGCAUUGGUGACUGGCAGGUUAGAGUAUGGCAGAGGGGGGUAGAAUUCCACGUGUAGCAGUGAAAUGCGUAGAGAUGUGGAGGAAUACCGAUGGCGAAGGCAGCCCCCUGGGCCAAUACUGACGCUCAUGCACGAAAGCGUGGGGAGCAAACAGGAUUAGAUACCCUGGUAGUCCACGCCCUAAACGAUGUCAACUAGUUGUUGGGGAUUCAUUUCCUUAGUAACGUAGCUAACGCGUGAAGUUGACCGCCUGGGGAGUAACGGCCGCAAGGUUGAAACUCAAAUGAAUUGACGGGGUCAUAGCUGUUUCCU